This 271-nucleotide long non-coding RNA is filed under the name Carica papaya (papaya). RNAcentral's name for it is "long non-coding RNA (CPAP_LNC004655)". Lineage: Eukaryota; Viridiplantae; Streptophyta; Magnoliopsida; Brassicales; Caricaceae. The record is from RNAcentral.
UUGUUGUUUAUGCUAUUGCAUAUAAAAGAUUUUAUCAUACCAUGACAUUUGACUUCGUUUUUAAUUUCGUUUUCUUUAUUUCCGUAACGAGUUUUGAAACAUGAACUUUAUAUUCUAGUAUUAAUUAACGUACGAGUCUUACGUGGGUUAAAUAAAAUGGAAAAUAUGCAUGCAUAAAUCGAUAAAAAUGGCCUACUGGUAUCAUGAAAGAAAGUGUACGGACUUGGUGCAUAGGGUGAGCCUACCGUGGACAUAUCCUCAACCGUACAGU